This 494-nucleotide ribosomal RNA is filed under the name uncultured bacterium. RNAcentral describes it as "partial 16S ribosomal RNA". It matches the Rfam family "Bacterial small subunit ribosomal RNA", at positions 28 to 507 of the family's 1533-position model. The record is from RNAcentral.
GACGAACGCUGGCGGCGUGCUUAACACAUGCAAGUCGAACGGAAAGGCCUGCUUUCCCUUGUGGAUUGCGGGUACUCGAGUGGCGAACGGGUGAGUAACACGUGAGUGAUCUGCCCCCAACUUGGGUAUAAGCCUGGGAAACUGGGUCUAAUUCCCGAUAGGACUGCAGGGUGGUGCCUGUGGUGGAAAACGAUUUUCUAGUGGUUGGGGAUGAGCUCGCGGCCUAUCAGCUUGUUGGUGGGGUAAUGGCCUACCAAGGCGGCGACGGGUAGCCGGCCUGAGAGGGUGGACGGCCACAUUGGGACUGAGAUACGGCCCAGACUCCUACGGGAGGCAGCAGUGGGGAAUAUUGCACAAUGGGCGGAACCCUGAUGCAGCGACGCCGCGUGGGGGAUGACGGCCUUCGGGUUGUAAACUCCUUUCGACCGCGAGGAAGCCACCUGGUUGGAAGGGUGGUGACGGUAGUGGUAGAAGAAGCACCGGCUAACUACGUG